CCUCCCUAUCUAACACUAGGACCUCCCAGUGUCCGUGCAGAGUUCUAGCUCAAAAAGGGGACAAACUAUCUUGCUCUCUUCCCUCCCUGCUGGAUUGUGUUCCUUCUGGGGCCCUAAGAGAAGCAGACAGU
This 131-nucleotide small nucleolar RNA is filed under the name Stegastes partitus (bicolor damselfish). RNAcentral describes it as "Small nucleolar RNA SNORA49 (ENSSPAG00000015724.1)". It matches the Rfam family "Small nucleolar RNA SNORA49". From Rfam's summary of the family: The snoRNA ACA49 has no identified RNA target. NB genomic sequence 1-nt different from published. The record is from Rfam by way of RNAcentral. Lineage: Eukaryota; Metazoa; Chordata; Actinopteri; Pomacentridae.